UGGGGAAUCUUGGACAAUGGGGGCAACCCUGAUCCAGCCAUGCCGCGUGAGUGAUGAAGGCCUUAGGGUCGUAAAGCUCUUUCGCCUGUGAAGAUAAUGACGGUAGCAGGUAAAGAAACCCCGGCUAACUCCGUGCCAGCAGCCGCGGUAAUACGGAGGGGGUUAGCGUUGUUCGGAAUUACUGGGCGUAAAGCGCACGUAGGCGGACCAGAAAGUUGGGGGUGAAAUCCCGGGGGCUCAACCCCGGAACUGCCUCCAAAACUAUUGGUCUAGAGUUCGAGAGAGGUGAGUGGAAUUCCAAGUGUAGAGGUGAAAUUCGUAGAUAUUUGGAGGAACACCAGUGGCGAAGGCGGCUCACCUGGCUCGAUACUGACGCUGAGGUGCGAAAGUGUGGGGAGCAAACAGGAUUAGAUA
This 414-nucleotide ribosomal RNA is filed under the name uncultured bacterium. RNAcentral describes it as "bacterial SSU rRNA". It matches the Rfam family "Bacterial small subunit ribosomal RNA", at positions 355 to 784 of the family's 1533-position model. The record is from RNAcentral.